AACAGAGGCAAAGGGAGAGGGAACUGGAAGAGAAAGAAAAGCAAUGGAAAGAAACUAUCUUGGGCCCCUCCAGGCCGGUGGAGCCUCCCCCUGCUUCUAACCCCACUGUGGCGGCAGCUGCUGCCACCCCUGCUGCUGCUGCUGCCGCCGCCACUGCACCUGCUGCUGCCGCCGACACUGCACCUGCUGCUGCCGCCACUCCAAACCCUUUCAGGUAUGUGCCCAGGUUCCUCAGAGAGAGGACUGAAGGCUCAGGAGCCGCACCUCCACCAAAACCCGAACGUCGGAAGUAUGUGCCCAGGUUCCUCAGAGAGAGGACUGAAGGCUCAGG
RNAcentral lists this long non-coding RNA (331 nucleotides) under Eucalyptus grandis. RNAcentral's name for it is "long non-coding RNA (EGRA_LNC005054)". The record is from RNAcentral. Lineage: Eukaryota; Viridiplantae; Streptophyta; Magnoliopsida; Myrtales; Myrtaceae.